UACGGAGGGUGCAAGCGUUACUCGGAAUCACUGGGCGUAAAGCGCGCGCAGGCGGCUUUGUAAGUUGGAUGUGAAAUCCUAUGGCUCAACCAUAGAACUGCAUCCAAAACUACUUAGCUAGAGUCUGGGAGGGGAAGAUGGAAUUAGUGGUGUAGGGGUAAAAUCCGUAGAGAUCACUAGGAAUACCAAAAGCGAAGGCGAUCUUCUGGAACAGAACUGACGCUGAGGCGCGAAAGCGUGGGGAGCAAACAGGAUUAGAUACCCUGGUAGUCCACGCCCUAAACGAUGAAUGUUAGUCGUCGGGUAGCUAGUCUAUUCGGUGAUGCAGUUAACACAUUAAACAUUCCGCCUGGGGAGUACGGUCGCAAGAUUAAAACUCAAAGGAAUAGACGGGGACCCGCACAAGUGGUGGAGCAUGUGGUUUAAUUCGAAGAUACGCGAAGAACCUUACCUGGCCUUGACAUUGAUAGAAUCUGCUAGAGAUAGCGGAGUGCCUUUCGGGGAGCUUGAAAACAGGUGCUGCACGGCUGUCGUCAGCUCGUGUCGUGAGAUGUUGGGUUAAGUCCCGCAACGAGCGCAACCCUCGUUCUUAGUUACUAACGGUUCGGCCGAGGACUCUAAGAAGACUGCCUUCGCAAGGAGGAGGAAGGUGAGGACGACGUCAAGUCAUCAUGGCCCUUACGGCCAGGGCAACACACGUGCUACAAUGGGUAGGACAAUGAGACGCGAUACCGCGAGGUGGAGCAAAUCUAUAAACCUAUUCUCAGUUCGGAUUGUAGUCUGCAACUCGACUACAUGAAGCUGGAAUCACUAGUAAUCGUAGAUCAGCUAUGCUACGGUGAAUACGUUCCCGGGUCU
This 858-nucleotide ribosomal RNA is filed under the name uncultured bacterium. Its description in RNAcentral is "SSU rRNA". It matches the Rfam family "Bacterial small subunit ribosomal RNA", at positions 524 to 1381 of the family's 1533-position model. The record is from RNAcentral.